ACAUUGGACAAUGAUGAAUACUACACGUCUAGUAUUUCUCUCAAUACUAGAUUGUAGAUGGAUCCUCAUUUGCCCACCAGAAUAGAACAGAAAAAAGCAGAUGACUCCUUUGUCUCACCCGUUCCUCCUCAUUUCCUUGUUGAUGGCCGAUUCCUCUCAAACUCUCUCUUCAGUUAACAGGAAAGGGGAAACAAGGAUGAAGGGGGAAGAUGUUUGAUUCUUCUCAGCCAUCUGAAUCACUUUUUUUCAAAUGUAAUCAUGUCUCUCCAAACAUAGGAGCAAGACCCUUCGUCCCUCUGCUAAGAUGUGGAAUAAUCUGAUAUAGAUAAUUUCUUCUCGCGUGAAUGUCUACCCUACUCUUAAAUAUCAAUGGUGGAAUUCAAGUUUAAAAGGUAAUACCUUUACCUUUCAACCAAUAUUUUUCUUCAGCAAGAAUAACAAAGAUGCAAAUGUCUCGCUGUUGGAGCUCCUGUUUUCUUGGCACCUUUUUUCCUUUUAGAUUUGUUAUUAGUUUUUUUUCCAGUGUUGUAGUUGCAUGUUUGAAGAUUUUGUCACGGAUUACUAACAUUCCUCAGCAGAUGAAUGGUAAGUUUUAUGGAACUGAAAAGUACUUGUUAUAUAUUUCCUUUUGAACGAUGAAGAAAAUAGUUAGCUAUCUUUCUUUAAAUUUGAGAGAUUUCUCGAUUUCACGUGGUGCUUUAAGGCUGUAAAUUUUGGCUCUUGUGCAAUAUAGCAGAAAGUUACUCUAUUCCUUGAGUUUGUUAUUGAGUAUGGUAAAUAUUCAAUGCAUUUUAGUUGGCUUUAAUUUAGGUGGUUUUACUCCCUAGCUCUUUCGAAUGAUUAGGAACAAAUGGUCACUUGUGAAAAGAUUAUCUAGAAAUUUUGAAAGUGGGAAAAGUCAUUUGAUUCUAAGUAUUUUUUCUACUAUUUUUUUUUACUCUGGAUUUUCAGCUGAUCUGAUUUUGCUUUUUUUUUUUUUUCUUUUUUGUGGUUAUCUACCUUGCAGGUUUAUAUACUACUCUUGACUCACAAAAGGCAAUCUGUGAGAUGUCUCAAACGAAAAGGCAGUCAUUUUUUAACAGACUGUAAAUUAUGUAUCAUAAACUGGAAAUGGAUCAUAUUGCUACAUCAUUAUUAUAUUUCUCUAUUAAUCUAAAAAUUUUCAUAGUUCAUUGCAUCCAUCCAAAAAAUGGCUCUUCCUUUGUUUUUGAAACUUAUUUAUACUCAGCUUACAUAUCUUGGUUUGAUUCCUUUUUAGGUGAAAAUGUAAGCAGGAGGUGAUGGUAAUUUUGCUAGAGGCUUCAAGAUUUUAAUUGAUUUACUCGUAAAUGCUUCAAAUUGAAUAGCAAGAGGGGGUGAGGACGCUCUUGCUUGGAUGGUGCUAGAUAAUUAUCCCAUUUACCAAGCCUUUAUUGUCUCCAAAUGAGAAAUUGACUACUUUCACAUUGGUUAAGGUCCUAAGGAUAACUUGAGACGUGGUGAAGAGGAGGAUGAUGACGAUGUAGCUAUUCAAGAAAAGGGUCCAGCUUCUGCACUGCUAAUAGUUUGGCACGUUUUGCUUCAGCUUCAAAUUCAAGAUUGAGGCUUCUGCCAUCUAAGUGAGGUGCUGCUGAUGCUUUUGAUGUUGUCCAUUCAGGCAAAAGCUGUUGUACUGCUUUCUCCAUCAGUUGAUAUUUUGAAAUUUUUAUCUCUACAUCAACUUUCUGGCAUUGAAUAAUUUUUUGGAGAACUAUGUAGAUUCAGAUAUAGAUUUUGUUAGAUUCAAAUGGGGCUGAAUGUGUACAUAUUCAAAGAUCAUGUGACAAGGUGGAGAAACUUUGAA
This is a non-coding RNA of Coffea arabica (coffee), 1822 nucleotides long. The record is from RefSeq and is a predicted model, not a curated record. Lineage: Eukaryota; Viridiplantae; Streptophyta; Magnoliopsida; Gentianales; Rubiaceae.